RNAcentral lists this ribosomal RNA (478 nucleotides) under uncultured bacterium. RNAcentral's name for it is "partial 16S ribosomal RNA". It matches the Rfam family "Bacterial small subunit ribosomal RNA", at positions 28 to 523 of the family's 1533-position model. The record is from RNAcentral.
GACGAACGCUGGCGGCGUGCUUAACACAUGCAAGUCGAACGGUAAGGCCCUUCGGGGUACACGAGUGGCGAACGGAUGAGUAACACGUGGGUGAUCUGCCCUGCACUUCGGGAUAAGCCUGGGAAACUGGGUCUAAUACCGGAUAGGACCACUGCCUGCAUGGGUGGUGGUGGAAAGCAUUUGCGGUGUGGGAUGGGCCCGCGGCCUAUCAGCUUGUUGGUGGGGUGAUGGCCUACCAAGGCGACGACGGGUAGCCGGCCUGAGAGGGUGACCGGCCACACUGGGACUGAGAUACGGCCCAGACUCCUACGGGAGGCAGCAGUGGGGAAUAUUGCACAAUGGGCGCAAGCCUGAUGCAGCGACGCCGCGUGAGGGAUGACGGCCUUCGGGUUGUAAACCUCUUUCAGCACCGACGAAGCGCAAGUGACGGUAGGUGCAGAAGAAGGACCGGCCAACUACGUGCCAGCCGCCGCUGUAA